UCCCCCGUGGCGCAAUUGGCUAGCGCGUUCGACUGUUACCCGAACUUGACUCUCACGACCGAGCAGCACAUCGAGAGGUUGGUGGUUCAAGCCCACCCGGGGGAG
RNAcentral lists this transfer RNA (105 nucleotides) under Venturia inaequalis. It matches the Rfam family "tRNA". Rfam says of the family: Transfer RNA (tRNA) molecules are approximately 80 nucleotides in length. Their secondary structure includes four short double-helical elements and three loops (D, anti-codon, and T loops). Lineage: Eukaryota; Fungi; Ascomycota; Dothideomycetes; Venturiales; Venturiaceae. The record is from Rfam by way of RNAcentral.